Long non-coding RNA from Sciurus carolinensis (gray squirrel), 241 nucleotides. RefSeq lists it as uncharacterized. The transcript is spliced from 3 exons. The record is from RefSeq and is a predicted model, not a curated record. NCBI's taxonomy places the organism in Eukaryota, Metazoa, Chordata, Mammalia, Rodentia, Sciuridae.
UGGAAAGUUACAAGAAGGGAAAAGUGCGUGGCUGGAAAAGAGGGCCUGACAAGCUGCUGACCUAGAAGCAUCUGAUCUCCACACUAGAGCACAGGGAAGGGGUGUCCCCUUCACAGGCUAUCACCUAGGGUCACCAGAUCCUCUGGAAAGGAAGUAAUCAAUGGAGUCUGGUAGUGGGAAAGGCAGAAAUUCUGGUACCCAUUCCACUGAAUCAAACAUAUGCCUGCCCCUCCCCCUCGAG